Pezoporus occidentalis (night parrot) is the source of this 1871-nucleotide long non-coding RNA. RefSeq lists it as uncharacterized. The record is from RefSeq and is a predicted model, not a curated record. Lineage: Eukaryota; Metazoa; Chordata; Aves; Psittaciformes; Psittacidae. The transcript has 2 exons.
UCCAGAAGUUCACCAGCUGAUUCUUAGGUCAUACUUGGGUUUAGUUCCACUUGUGACCCAGCCCUUUGGGCCUGUAUUGUAGAAGAUGGAGACAGGCAGCUUCAGUAGGCUCCCUAUACUGUGUUGAUUAUUGCAGUCCUAAUUGUUCUGUGUGGAAAAUGUCAGUAUUGAAGGGGCUUGAACACCCGGAAGAGACAGUCGUGAUAUUUGUAGUGUUUACACACUGGUGAGAGCCUACAUACAGGGAUACUAUGUUCCAGGGGCCUGUGGUUUAAUGCUUGGAGGCUGUAGUAAAUCUUGUUACACAAAUACUUGGGUUACCUCUUGUGCAGGGUAUAAGAAUAUCCCUUAAAAAGAAAAAGACUCUUCAAAGGACUGAUGUCAGUUAUCAUCUGUUCAUCGAAUUUUGAUUUCUCGUGUUGUUAUCUUUAGAGCACUGGGUUAGCCCAUGCUUCUUGUUUUGGGUUGUUUUUUUUUAUAUGGUAGGUUGAUGUGAUGGAUGUGUGGUGGGUAUCCCUUCCUUUCACUGCUCCCUGAACUAGUCGGUUUAGGAUUCACUAGGCCCAGUUCUGUACACAUAGAAUUUGGCGUGCUUUUCAUAACUAAAAUAAAAGCAGUGCUGGAGUGUUUCUGAGUCAGCCGUGCAAAAAGUAAGUACAUCAGUAUGUUGGGUGUCAUCAGAACACAUUUAUUGGGAACUGAAACUCUUUAGGAUGAUUACAUUAUGAUACAGCUUGUAUUAUAUUGUAGCAUUUGGAUGUAGUUCACAUCCAGCUAGCAAGUGCCUUUGUGGGUGAAACAACUGCUGUUGGCAUCUACAGCUGUCAGUUCCCCUUCUGUGAACCCUGGGUGAGGAGUGCUGGGCUGCAGCUGCAGUAGGCUGCUUUCUGCCUUUUAGAGAAGUUCUUUUGAUGUUGGACAAGACAAAAGGCGACAACUCUUAUUUGAGGUUUAAAAAGGAAAAUACAACUUAUGUUUGAAUCCAGUGUGCUUGCUCUUGAUCCCUCUGUGUGUGUCCUGUCACUUUUAUUUUAGGUUUCUGCAAACAGUUCAUUUUCAUCCAGUUCAGGCAUGGCAGAUCUAUGAUGUGAGUGCCAAAAAUGCCAACUUCUUUUCUUCUCUUUGUUUGAAACUUUGCAGAAUCAGAGCAGCAAAAGUGUAGUUUUGUGAUUUGACAGCUUUUCAGUAUUCAUUUUUUGUCCUUGUUUUUUGUGGUUAACAUUAAGGGUCAGGCAUUGUCAUGCAGCACAACACAGUUGUUACUUCUUCAUUCCAUGCACAAGAAUAUUUGGCAAUUUGAUAUACUGAAAUGAAAAAAAAUGUUAGUAAGUUUUGACUGGUUUAGCAGUAAUGGGUGUUCCUGGAUGGUUUUGGUUUUGUCCUUAUUGCAGUUUACUGUUACUUAAGAUCUCUGAAUCUCUAGUCUGUAGUUUUGCUGUAUCCCACUUGACAACUUAUGGUCUAGAGCUGGAGCUUUUUUCUCCUUAUGUUGGUUGUAAAUGUUGAAGAAUGUAUCUUGCAUUGUAAUGAAGAGAUGAAAAUUCACUCAUGGUGGUGAGAAUACUGUAACUGGGUCAGAAUUUCAACUCUUGAACUCCAGACUAGAAGCCAAGCCAAAACUCUCUUGUGUUCUCAUGCAGGUGAUUCCUCCUCUUUGUUUCUUGAUUAAUCAUUAUUUGUGUUUUGUUUGUUUAGAUUGUAAGUUCUUUGUGGCAAGGGUUGUCUCUUGUGUGUGCGUGUGUGUGAGCGCGCGCAUGUGUAUGUGUGUACCCAGGACAGUAAGGUCUGGAGUCCAGUCUGUGGAAGCUGUAAUAAACAAUCACCUUGUUAUUGUUUUCCUGGAUAUUGUAAUAAAGAGUAUCAAAUUAAAA